RNAcentral lists this ribosomal RNA (253 nucleotides) under uncultured bacterium. RNAcentral describes it as "partial 16S ribosomal RNA". It matches the Rfam family "Bacterial small subunit ribosomal RNA", at positions 524 to 776 of the family's 1533-position model. The record is from RNAcentral.
UACAGAGGGUGCGAGCGUUAAUCGGAAUUACUGGGCGUAAAGAGCGCGUAGGUGGUCUACUAAGUCAUGUGUGAAAGCCCCGAGCUUAACUUGGGAAUUGCACGUGAUACUGGUAGUCUAGAGUAUGGUAGAGGGAAGUGGAAUUUCCGGUGUAGCGGUGAAAUGCAUAGAUAUCGGAAGGAACACCAGUGGCGAAGGCGACUUCCUGGGCCAAUACUGACACUGAGGCGCGAAAGCGUGGGGAGCAAACAGG